RNAcentral lists this ribosomal RNA (240 nucleotides) under uncultured bacterium. RNAcentral describes it as "partial 16S ribosomal RNA". It matches the Rfam family "Bacterial small subunit ribosomal RNA", at positions 83 to 339 of the family's 1533-position model. The record is from RNAcentral.
UCGGUCGGACCAGUGGCGAACGGCUGAGUAACACGUGGGAACUUCCUUGAAGUUCGGAAUAACUCUCCGAAAGGAGAGCUAAUACCGGAUGUGAUCGCAAGAUCAAAGUCGCAAGACGCUUCAAGCAAGGCCUGCGCACCAUCAGGUAGUUGGCGAGGUAAAAGCUCACCAAGCCUACGACGGUUAGAGGGCCCGAGAGGGUGUACCUCCAGACGGGGACUGCGACACGGCCCCGACUCC